CAAAUCCCAUUCAUGUAUAAUUUUAAAUCCCAUUCAUGUAUAAUUCAAAAAAAGUAUUUUUGAGAGCUAGACACUAUGCUGGAUGCUGCAGAGAUAGCAAGAGAGGGUUCAUAUUACUGCCUUCAAGAGCUUUAUAGUGGGGUGGGGGAGAGGCAGGAUGCCAAAUCAUCAAGAUGGACUGUGGAGCCUGAACGCAGGGGUCAGUUAUCUUCAAAUGUAAAUUCAGGAUUUGAGGAGACUCAAUAGAAAACAUGCCUUAGAACCAAUGGAGAGAUUGAUUCAGAACCAAUUGAGAGAUGGGCAUAGCUCUAUGAAGAAUAAGCCUCUCCACGUUCAACAAUGUAAGUGAAUUUUCUGUUGUUUUAAUCCUUUAUUAGAUAUACUUUUCUGCUCAAUCUUUGGAACAAUAAAAUAAUUAUGAGAUUC
Molecule: long non-coding RNA, 426 nt
Filed under: Callithrix jacchus (white-tufted-ear marmoset)
Lineage: Eukaryota; Metazoa; Chordata; Mammalia; Primates; Cebidae
Description: lncRNA (ENSCJAG00000072808.1)
Source: RNAcentral